RNAcentral lists this ribosomal RNA (1340 nucleotides) under alkali sediment metagenome. Its description in RNAcentral is "bacterial SSU rRNA". It matches the Rfam family "Bacterial small subunit ribosomal RNA", at positions 8 to 1381 of the family's 1533-position model. The record is from RNAcentral.
AGAGUUUGAUUCUGGCUCAGAACGAACGCUGGCGGCGUGGAUAAGACAUGCAAGUCGAACGAUUACUAUCGGGUAGCAAUAUUCGGUGGUGAGAGUGGCGCAAGGGUGCGUAACACGUGGGUAAUUUGCCGUGAAGUCUGGAAUAACUUGCUGAAAGGCGAGCUAAUACCGGAUGUGAUUGCUGGGGGGCAUCCUCUGGCACUUAAAGUCGGGGACCCUAAGACGGGUAGCUGGUCUGAGAGGACGACCAGCCACACUGGAACUGAGACACGGUCCAGACACCUACGGGUGGCAGCAGUCGAGAAUUUUUCUCAAUGGGGGAAACCCUGAAGGAGCGACGCCGCGUGGGGGAUGAAUGGCUUCGGCCCGUAAACCCCUGUCAUUUGCGAUCAAACCUUACGACCUAACACGUCGUAAGCUGAUAGUAGCGGAAGAGGAAGGGACGGCUAACUCUGUGCCAGCAGCCGCGGUAAUACAGAGGUCCCAAGCGUUGUUCGGAUUCACUGGGCGUAAAGGGUGCGUAGGCGGUCGGGUAAGUCUGACGUGAAAUCUUCAAGCUCAACUUGGAAACUGCGUCGGAUACUAUUCGGCUAGAGGAAUGGAGGGGAGACUGGAAUACUUGGUGUAGCAGUGAAAUGCGUAGAUAUCAAGUGGAACACCAGUGGCGAAGGCGAGUCUCUGGACAUUUCCUGACGCUGAGGCACGAAAGCCAGGGGAGCAAACGGGAUUAGAUACCCCGGUAGUCCUGGCCCUAAACGGUGCACGUUUGCUGUAAGAGGAAUCGACCCCUUUUGUGGCGAAGCUAACGCGUUAAACGUGCCGCCUGGGAAGUACGGCCGCAAGGUUAAAACUCAAAGAAAUUGACGGGGGCCUGCACAAGCGGUGGAGUAUGUGGCUUAAUUCGAUGCAACGCGAAGAACCUUACCUGGCCUUGACAUGCAAGUGGUAGAAGCCUGAAAGGGUGACGACCCCGCAAGGGGAGCUUGCACAGGUGCUGCAUGGCUGUCGUCAGCUCGUGUCGUGAGAUGUUGGGUUAAGUCCCGCAACGAGCGCAACCCCUGCGUCCUGUUGCCACCCGGUCGAGAGACUGGAGCACUCUGGACGGACUGCCUCGCUUCAACGAGGAGGAAGGUGGGGAUGACGUCAAGUCAGGAUGGCCCUUACGGCCAGGGCUGCACACGUACUACAAUGCCCGGCACAGAGGGAAGCAAAACCGCAAGGUGGAGCAAAUCCGAAAAACCGGGCUCAGUUCAGAUUGUCGUCUGCAACUCGACGGCAUGAAGCUGGAAUCGCUAGUAAUGGCGCAUCAGCUACGGCGCCGUGAAUACGUUCCCAGGCCU